AGACAGCAAAAUUGAAGUUGCAUACUGAGAUGCAAUUACUUUUCUUUCAUGCUAAGAACAAGCUAGCUGAUACACAUAGCACAUCCAUCACCAUUCAAAAUAGCAUCUUGAUAUAUGCCAGUUUUAUACACGGCUAGAAAUCAUUCCUACAUCUCAUAGAAGUUAAGAAUUUUCUUAGAAAGAAAUGCAGAUUUCCCAAGAGAGAGAUUGCAAAAAAAUAUCACAGUAUGUAGUGUAUGGAUUUCAAUCAAAUCUAUACAUCACAAUCACAUCCAGUGUUUUCAAUCUAUGCGUCGUACUAUAUGCACGAUCGAAGAAAAAUUACAGUGAUUGAAAUUGGCUUUCUUGGAUAGCAGAGUUUCAACAGACUAAAGAGAACCUGCUGAACGUGUGAUGAUGGUUGAACACUACUUGUAAUCGAGGGUUGUUGGAGGGCGCUGGAAGGUGUAGCAUGAAAUUGUAGUUGGGAUGUUUGAUGACUCAACGGAGUUUGAAGGAGGAAUGGUAACCGAAGAGAAUCCUGAUGAUGCUGCAGAAGACAACAAUGGAACGGGGGUGAUGACACCAAUGUUUUGCAUUUUCCACGGCCAAUUUG
RNAcentral lists this long non-coding RNA (595 nucleotides) under Olea europaea subsp. europaea. The record is from RNAcentral. Lineage: Eukaryota; Viridiplantae; Streptophyta; Magnoliopsida; Lamiales; Oleaceae.